This 301-nucleotide ribosomal RNA is filed under the name uncultured bacterium. RNAcentral's name for it is "partial 16S ribosomal RNA". It matches the Rfam family "Bacterial small subunit ribosomal RNA", at positions 509 to 807 of the family's 1533-position model. The record is from RNAcentral.
CAGUCGCCGCGGGAAUACGUAGGGUGCGAGCGUUAAUCGGAAUUACUGGGCGUAAAGCGUGCGCAGGCGGUUAUAUAAGACAGAUGUGAAAUCCCCGGGCUCAACCUGGGACCUGCAUUUGUGACUGUAUAGCUAGAGUACGGUAGAGGGGGAUGGAAUUCCGCGUGUAGCAGUGAAAUGCGUAGGUAUGCGGAGGAACACCGAUGGCGAAGGCAAUCCCCUGGACCUGUACUGACACUCAUGCACGAAAGCGUGGGGAGCAAACAGGAUUAGAUACCCGAGUAGUCCCUGUCUCUUAUAC